Long non-coding RNA from Anguilla anguilla (European eel), 2247 nucleotides. RefSeq lists it as uncharacterized. Lineage: Eukaryota; Metazoa; Chordata; Actinopteri; Anguilliformes; Anguillidae. The record is from RefSeq and is a predicted model, not a curated record. The transcript is spliced from 4 exons.
UAACAUGUCCGAAUAAUUGAUCGAUAAUGAUAUUCGUAAAACAAUGACAAACCUGGCUUUGAUUAACAGGCGCGUUAAAUCUAUGAGAACUUUUUGUCAACGUUCAAAUUGACUGUGGAGCAAAUGAAUCGCUUGCCUUGAGCUGAUCACACUCGGGAGUUGAGCGUCUGAAUGAGUGGAACAAAUCCGCAAGGAGACAGUUCACUUUGGAAUGGCCACCAAUGAAACCAGGAUAGUCGCUAGGACAAGCAAGAGAAGACGCAGUCAACAGUAACGUUGUGAUAAACUGUUGGAUGAAGAAGACUAAGUUCCAGAGGUUGUGUUUGGCUAUUCUAGAAUCAGUACAAGUGGAAAUAAUCGGAGUUUUCCACCCUCACGAACGUUUUCAGAGAACAGCACAGUCUGAAACUCCGCUUUUCCACCUGCACAAAAGGCAAUGCUCACCUUAUACAGCAGGGUUCACCUUAUAGCCUACAGCCGUGUAAACUCAAGACCCACCGAAUCACUAUAGCCUAUGGACGCAGUGCUCAUUUCAUCCUGGUAGCUAGGCUACAUUAAGCCGCAACUCAUCUUAAUUUCUGAGACUGGAGUUCAGAGAGGAGCGGAAGAAUGAGGUGAGAAGGUUGCUUCCACAAAAGCGCCGCCUUCCGCCGUGCGGGCGUCGCCUCGGGCCAGUAUCAAGCUCCUGCCCGCCUCAGUUCCACAGAGUCGGCCCACGGCAAACGCGGCGUUCAUGGCGGUGUCUGUCAAAACGGCACGGCUGAAGCAUCAGAGCUGCACUGCCAGAAAGUUACCGUUUGCCACCCCUGUGUUUAACCCCAGUGAGUUACCAAUGAGGCGAUGGCCCCCGCAGCGUUCAUCACAGUGUCCGGGUCGUCGUGGGUCAGGAGCCUCCCUAAGGCCCCCACUAGCCCAGCGCUGUCCCCCUGCGUCCCUUCCAGGGUCUCCUGCACCCAGCCGUCUCUCUCCACCAGCGCCCCCAGGAGUGGGGAUCUGUUUGCCGUCUUCAGCAGAUCUGAGCAUCUGGUGUGCUUCACUGUCAUGGUAAUGCCCAUUAAACGGCGGCAGUAAAUUUCACUGGCUUUGAACCUCCUCACCGGACUCAGGCACUCAUCGGGUCAGCCGCAGGCUCCCUCUCCCCUGUUCGGAGUCAGGACCCCGUUACCGUGGAAACGCAUAAACAAGCCCCCCUUCAGAGCGGAGUUAACCCUUUCCGAACGGCGGAGCGGAGGGGCCGGUCACCGUUCAGGCGGCCACGAAACCUAUCGGGCUGCCAGCCCCAGGAAACCUGGCGCUCUUCUGACGCACGUCGUCGGCCCUGACUGAGCGGGUCCUAGCGCGAUACGGACAGAUCGCUCAUAAACGCGCAGGCGCGUGACCCGCCAGGGGGGUCCGUGCGUGAUCUACGGUCACGCUGCGUUUGUACAGUACGCCGAGUUACGAGCCAAACGCGGCCUUGUCUCCCCCCGACACACAAUGGCGUACGGUGAUUGAUUGGCCUCAAUAAAGCUUUCUCAUUAAACCCGACGCGUUUAUCAACUUUUAAAUUUGUCCGCUGGAAAAUGGCUCUACCAGCCAAAACUUGGCCCUACUUCAUUGAGCAAAUACAGUCGCUUUUACAGCCUGGUCCGUCACGCUCAAUACGGCUCGCGUUUAAAAUUUACAGGCGCUGACAUGUUGCGAAGCAUGGCAUUCAGCGGUGUGAGCGCGUCACGCGUGAUCGUUUCUGACCCUUUCAGACGCUUUGUGAUGGGGGUGCUGAGCAGGUACUGGGCUGUGGGAAAGGGCAAAUGCACAGACCGAUCAGUAAAUUCUGCAUUCAGCACACGGGCAUUUACUACACUGGGCAUGAAUAGAUUUGUCAGACUAUAAACAUUUUAAGUUACGGUGGGUGUCUGCGCUCGCUAACAGUGGGUAGCAUUUCAGCUGUAAGUACAAUGCUAUCUAAAGCACACUGUCUGCGAAGAAUUUGUUAUUUUAAUCCAACGGGUUUUGAGCGUCAGGACACUGAAAUUGUGUAAACAACACAGAAGAACCCAGAAUUAUAACCACCAUUCUGGUGCUCAGUGAUUAUUGUGUUACGGAUGGACGGUCUAAUCAGUCAGUGGAAUCCUUUAUGAAGCUUUUGUCAUUUAUGUAGUGUAUUAUUAAAUACAAUAACAGAUAUGAAUCUGUUUAUUACCAAACUGUCCCAUGAGUGGAAUCUGAUUGUGAAAUGUCUGUCAUGCCCAUAAUGUUGUUUCCCUU